Trichonephila clavata is the source of this 71-nucleotide non-coding RNA. The record is from the annotation of a GenBank genome assembly. NCBI's taxonomy places the organism in Eukaryota, Metazoa, Arthropoda, Arachnida, Araneae, Nephilidae.
GUUCGUUACACCACUGAUAGUGUGUUGGACUUCUAAUUGAAAGGUCAUGGGUUCGAGUCCCAACUGGAAUA